This 403-nucleotide ribosomal RNA is filed under the name uncultured bacterium. RNAcentral's name for it is "partial 16S ribosomal RNA". It matches the Rfam family "Bacterial small subunit ribosomal RNA", at positions 28 to 526 of the family's 1533-position model. The record is from RNAcentral.
GACGAACGCUGGCGGCGUGCCUAAUACAUGCAAGUCGAACGCAGUGGGGACGGGUGCGGAACAAGUGGGUAACCUCCCAUCAGAGGGGAUAACACUUGGAAACAGGUGCUAAACCGCUACUGGUGGAUGGACCCGCUGUGCAUUAGCUAGUGGGUGGGGUAACGGCUCACCAAGGCCACGAUGCAUAGCUGACCUGAGAGGGUGAUCGGCAACACUGGGACUGAGACACGGCCCAGACUCCUACGGGAGGCAGCAGUAGGGAAUCUUCGGCAAUGGACGAAAGUCUGACCGAGCAACGCCGCGUGAGUGAAGAAGGCUUUCGGAUCGUAAAGCUCUGUUGUUAGAGAAGCGGUAUCUAACCAGAAAGCCACGGCUAACUACGUGCCAGCAGCCGCGGUAAUAC